CUCCACUUCAUCUCCCAAAGCCGUGCCUCAAGCGCUUCAUCUCUUUCUCCACCCACGCACACCUACAUGCACACAAACAAGAGGAAGAGGAAACCUACAGGCGAAACAUUCCCUGGUCUAAAUUGUUUAGUUCUUCACCGUUUCCAAAUUUCAGCUCCAUGGACGCCGGUGCUCUAUCCCGAUGAUUUAGGCGAUCCAUGUUCGAGUCCUUGCGCCAAAAUAUUCUGCUCCAUGCCGCAGCUCCAUUCAAAGAAGAAACAACGUGUUCCGUCGAGCAUACGCGGAGAAUUUUGCAAGGAGUGACGAUAUCGAUGUUGGACAUGGACAGAACAGGUUACUAAAGAAGGACUCAACAAGGAAGGCAUGCCUCCUUUUUUGAUCAUACUUAUCCUAUGUUUACAAAAUUGCAUUGUGUUUUAUGGUUAUUAUAUGCCUGCUAUUUUAAUUCUUGUAGCUAGCAUGUCGAUUGACACAUUACCUUGAUCCACUAGUCGACUAUUCAUUUGACACCUAAGUAGAAUUAUAGUAUUCUUGUAGAGUAGAAAUGCUUAGCCAUGCUUAUUACCCUAUAGGUGCUUUGUUGAAUGACAUCUGAGUCAUUGACAGUUGAAACUUACCGCUGAGCUAGGCCAGAUGGCCUUAUUGAUAUCCUCUACUCUCUUCUACUCUGGGUGAAACUUACCAUCCGAAUACUGGCGCGGGCGACAGCUGAAUCAAGGAUUGAAGGAGCGAUUGGCUGCCCUUCACAGGUUGAAGGGGGCAAUCAGUCGUCCGUGCCGCUUAAGGUCUAAUAAGUCUUGGAUUUGAAGAUUGUGAUAACAGUACAGCCACAUGCUAUAUGGGCACUGGCUUGGUCAUGUAAGCUAGUCAGCCUUAGGUGUCGAUGUCGCUGUACCGCAGAUGGGAUAGCUGCCUUGCAAGGAGUAUCCUCGGCACAGAUGGGGGGACCGGUUUGAGGACAUACUCUCAGUUCCGUGCGCCAGACCCGGUGGGCAUGUCACAUCUUUGAGGGAUCUAGUCCAAAGACCUCGUCACAAUCCCCCUGCCGGUACACCAAAUGGAGUACUAUACCAGCGGCCACUGGUGGCAACAAGUCGAGAUUGUGUCGUGUGGGUAAAGUGUACGACCUCUGUAGAGUGUAAAAUAUUCGAAUAGUCGUGUCCAUGGUCAAGGGCUACACAUGAAUCUUUCUUGACGUACAGGACCUGUCUUGCUUAUUCCCUCUUUGCCCCUAUUCUUGGAACCUAUGAAGAGUGUGAGUUGAUCGAGGAUCCUCACUUGAUGAAAGUUAUUCUCGAGAUAAAACAUGUUUUCAUCUAAAACUACUUUUAUCCAACUGCUUUAUUUGUCAAAAAAAUAGCUUUAUGCAAAUGAGCCAUAUAGCCUUCCUUUGAAGCCACAUGUAGCUAUUAGGUCCUUCCCCGUGGGAGGCAUGUUGAGUACGUAAUGUACUCAUGGCAAUAAUUUUG
Molecule: long non-coding RNA, 1469 nt
Organism: Triticum aestivum (bread wheat)
Lineage: Eukaryota; Viridiplantae; Streptophyta; Magnoliopsida; Poales; Poaceae
Exons: 3
Source: RefSeq, a predicted model, not a curated record